Molecule: ribosomal RNA, 252 nt
Filed under: uncultured bacterium
Lineage: Bacteria
Description: partial 16S ribosomal RNA
Rfam family: Bacterial small subunit ribosomal RNA
Source: RNAcentral
UACGAAGGGGGCUAGCGUUGCUCGGAAUCACUGGGCGUAAAGGGUGCGUAGGCGGGUUAUUAAGUCAGAGGUGAAAUCCUGGAGCUCAACUCCAGAACUGCCUUUGAUACUGAUAGUCUUGAGUAUGGGAGAGGUGAGUGGAACUGCGAGUGUAGAGGUGAAAUUCGUAGAUAUUCGCAAGAACACCAGUGGCGAAGGCGGCUCACUGGCCCAUUACUGACGCUGAGGCACGAAAGCGUGGGAGCAAACAGG